GCGAUUUUAAGAUGAAGGACAUUCAAAAUUACAAAAGUUUUAAAACACAAAUGCUGAAGCGAUUCGCUAAGUUGCCAUAUACGAUCCGGCUGAACACUUUCAUGCAUGCAUGCAACAGAGAAGCGAAGACGUUCAGAUUUUCGCGGUUAGAUUACAGUCUAUUGCGACCGAGACUCAGAUAGAAAUGGCAAGGGCCAGCGAACAAGAACGAGUGGUGAUAGAGCAAUGUCAGAAAAAAGAAAUGGACGAGCGGUUGCGAAUACAAUUUCUUAACGGGAUUAAUGAUAGGAUCAAACGAACAGUUAUGUCUCAUGAUCCAAAAACAUUCGAAGAAGCGCU
Molecule: long non-coding RNA, 339 nt
Filed under: Androctonus crassicauda
Lineage: Eukaryota; Metazoa; Arthropoda; Arachnida; Scorpiones; Buthidae
Source: RNAcentral